RNAcentral lists this unclassified non-coding RNA (256 nucleotides) under Hevea brasiliensis (rubber tree). Lineage: Eukaryota; Viridiplantae; Streptophyta; Magnoliopsida; Malpighiales; Euphorbiaceae. The record is from RNAcentral.
GGGAAUAUUAUAAUGUUACUCUGCCACCUGGUAUAAUUUGUUCAUGCCCUGUAUUUAUUCCAAUUUGUUUAUUCUUACAGCAUGUUGAUCAGAGAUUUUGAUGCAAUUAACAAGGCCAUUCAUCUUUCACUCUUUCACAGAAUAUCACAAGACUGAUGGCUUUUCAUUAAAUUUUUUAUGCUGAUUGCUUCAUAUCCUGUCCAACUUUCAAAUUCCAACUCUUACAAUUGCAGGUCCAUUCCGCCAUAAGUUCCUU